GGACUACCGGGGUAUCUAAUCCUGUUCGCUCCCCUAGCUUUCGCACCUCAGCGUCAGUUCAUCGCCAGGACACUGCCUUCGCCUUUGGUGUUCUUCCGGAUCUCUACGCAUUUCACCACUCCACCCGGAAUUCCGUGUCCCUCUCGAUGCCUCAAGUCCAGCCGUUUUGCAGGCACUCUCUCGGUUGAGCCAAGAGCUGUCACCCCCAACGCGCUGGACCGCCUGCGUGCGCUUUACGCCCAGUAACUCCGGACAACGCUCGCCCCCUACGUAUUACCGCGGCGGCUGGCAC
This 292-nucleotide ribosomal RNA is filed under the name uncultured bacterium. RNAcentral's name for it is "partial 16S ribosomal RNA". The record is from RNAcentral.